Molecule: long non-coding RNA, 1265 nt
Filed under: Sinocyclocheilus anshuiensis
Lineage: Eukaryota; Metazoa; Chordata; Actinopteri; Cypriniformes; Cyprinidae
Description: lncRNA (ENSSANG00000045096.1)
Source: RNAcentral
CGUAAGCAAACCGGAAGUAGGGACAAAUAUUUUCCGGUGAAAGCGCUAGCCGAACAAUGGCGGAGUCCAAAAGUAAUCAGUCGUGUAGUGUACCUUUGUGUUCUAAUUCAAAGAAAAAGCAACCUUACUUAUCAUUUCAUAGUUUUCCCAUCGACGAAAAUGUAAGAAAGCGUUGGAUUUGGGCCAUACGGAGAAAAGAUGGGGCGGCAUUUACUGUGAGGAAAACUAGCACUUUUGUGCUAACUGUUAAGCACUUCACGGAAGAUGAGGUCCGUGUCCAUCCAGAGUCCGGUCGUAAGGCUGUGCCUUCCAGGUUUGCGUGGAACAGUUGGGGAGAAGUUAAAUCACGCUAGACUCGGACAUCAAAAGGAGGUGUUCGUGGUGCAGAGAAAGCAGUAGAUGUCGAAAUGGAGAGUGCUGGUGCAUGAUUACAACAGCCGUCCAGCCCCGGUAUCCUCUCAGAUUCUGAACACAUCAACCCCUCCUGACAUGUCAUCUUUCCAGUUUAAGAUAGCUCAUCGUCUCUACACACCCUAUCUACAUUGAAGUCACCCCUUGUAUUUGUCACCAGAUCACACCAAGCUAAGCCAGUAACCAUCAGCUGACCUUGGACUUGCCAAUGGUAGAAACGAUGCAUUGCUUUGGUGUGGGGGGCACCUUUAAUGAUCCGGCCAGCCCGUGUCAUUGCAGUGGAUUCGGACCUCACAUGAGCUGCUUCAUAGAACUUGCUUGCUAUGUCACCUCCAGACUCUGCAUAUGCAGGAGUUCAGCGCAGCUGCCAGCGACGAAAUUAUAUGGUGGAAGCUUGUAUUGUGGGACAGAAGACACCAUGGUUAGAGCAGACAUUCCAUCAACUAUCUUCGCUAUCAGUGGUUGUGGACAACGGGAAAUGAGGGAUGCUGCUCCAGCAAUGACAUCAUUGUCAGGUAAAGGUUCUAAAAAAAGUUCAUGCCUCAGUGUUUUAAUUGUUACCUAAUGUGAAAAUGUGUUUUAUUAGUAUUUGGAUAUCGCCUCCAUAUGCUUUGUACAGAGUAGACUGCACAGAGCUCCUACCAGAGGCUUUCGGUUUGCGCACCACAAGCUCAUCGACUGGUUUGGGAGUGAUGCACUGACAAAACAUGUAUAUCUUGCACUAGAUUGCACUCUGAUUUGCACAUUAUGCAUUUUAAAUUAAUUUUAUUUGUUAAUGGUUGGCAAAUUAAAAUUGUUAAAAACUGACGAAUGAGGUUUCUGUCUUUAUUUAUUUAUAUUUACCUGGGUUCGGA